UGCAUACUCUGCCAUUUUGUCUUUCUCUU
This 29-nucleotide non-coding RNA is filed under the name Mus musculus (house mouse). Lineage: Eukaryota; Metazoa; Chordata; Mammalia; Rodentia; Muridae. The record is from RNAcentral.